UAGAUGUACCCUUAGGUUAGAAGGGGAACCACUAUAAUUUCUUGUGUCCAGUUUCUCUUCUCUACUCUCUUUAUUUUUUUAUAUUUGUUUAUACCUUCAACACAAUUUUUCAGAAAAAUAAUAAGAACCCUAAACUCACGAAAAUUAUCCUAAAAAUCAAAAACCUUAAUUCAUUAUUCCUAUUAGGUUACAAUCAAAUUUCAAAAUACAAAUGUGUUGGGACAUACCCCAUUCGAACACUAACACUAAACAUGAAAACUAAAUCAGCCAAGAUUUAAUACACAUAACACAAAUACAAGGAGGCAGUUCCUACCCCUUCCUUAGAUCCAAACAACCAUGACAAAUUCUUCCACAUUUGAUCUAUGGCAAAGUUUAAAAGAGGGUCCAUAGUCUUUAAAUCUAUCCGGCGAUAGAUCAUUUCUUUGACUUCUGCAAGCACAAUUCAACUAUAAAUGGUCUCGAAUUUGUCCAAAGUAUCCACAUGCCCGUAAUCAAUUUGUUUGGUGGUGAGGAUGUUGAAGUAGGUGGGUGCCACAUCUUGUUUUGCAAUCAAAAAUCUGUUCCAGCAAGUUAAGCUCUCUUGGGACAUUUCUUCAAACACCAUGAAGACAUACUUAAAACAAAAUAAAAAUAUCAAUAAAGCACAAAACAAAACAUUAAAACAGUGGAACAGAGAGACAUCAUCAAACAUGAAAUUUAGAUAGUAUCCAAGCCUUGGUGGUUUUGGUGGAGGGCGGGUGGAUGCCAACAAUGAAGGUGGGGGAGUAGCCAUGAGGGAGAGAGCUUAAAACACUGUUUUCAGAUUUGAGAUGGGGGAGACAACCGUGACAGCCAUUUGAUUGUUUUGUGGUGGUGGCUAUUAUGUUACAAAUUUAAAAGUUUAAGCACAGUUAAGCAAAUUUUAAUUUUACAAGGGCUAAAAUUAUGUGUUGUCCUUGUUAAAUUGAAAUUUGUUUAAUUAUACUUAAACUUUUAUAUUUUUAAAUGAUUUUUAGC
This 996-nucleotide long non-coding RNA is filed under the name Medicago truncatula (barrel medic). RNAcentral describes it as "long non-coding RNA (MTRU_LNC004786)". The record is from RNAcentral. Lineage: Eukaryota; Viridiplantae; Streptophyta; Magnoliopsida; Fabales; Fabaceae.